RNAcentral lists this long non-coding RNA (1958 nucleotides) under Ananas comosus (pineapple). Its description in RNAcentral is "long non-coding RNA (ACOM_LNC030933)". The record is from RNAcentral. Lineage: Eukaryota; Viridiplantae; Streptophyta; Magnoliopsida; Poales; Bromeliaceae.
AACUUUCCCGAUAAGUGUUUUUUUUUUUCUAAAUUACAGAAAACUUUCACGUCAGUACCUAUUUUUUUACUUUUCCUCCUGUCAUUCAAAAAUCUACACUUUAUUUUUUAAAAAAUAAAAAAAUAUUCACUUUUACCUCUACCGUCAGUAUUCCGUUAAGAUUCUACUUAUAUCCUAUUUUUUAUACUCAGAAUACUCCUAAAAUUCUCCUCCUUUCUCAUCCUUGGUCGCGCCACUUCAUCCCCGCCCACCUUUCUGUCCAUGCCCACACACAAGCUGUCGCCCGCCUCCAUUGCCUCGCCCUCGCCCUAGCUCUCCCUCCUCUCCGUCCAUGCCCACCUCGAAGAAGAUGAGAGACAAUUUAGUCAUUUUAUCACAGUGUACCCUUUUGUGAAUAUUUUUUAUUUUUUAAGAGGGUAUAUAAAAUAUAGGAUUUUGAAUUACAGAGGAAAAGUGAAAAAGCGGGUAUUGCAAGAAGGUUUUCUGUAAUUUAACCUAUUUUUGGUCAACUUCAAAUACCACUCCUGUGGUUUUGCACUUUCUCACUUUAGUAUCUUGUGAUUGAAAAUGUAUUAAUUUAGUACCCUGUGGUUUUAUUUUUCUCUUUUCGUCAGCCACUUCGUUAAUUUUUCAUUAAAUCAUAUACAAAAACUUUUAAAUAUCCAACCUAUAGUUUAUUGAAAAUUUACUUUAUUACCCUUUAGUUUUAAUUUUGUCACUGAUUUAACGAAAAAAAUUAGUGAAGGGGAUAGCAAAAAAAAAAAAAAAUCACAAGGUACGAAAAUGAUACACUUUAAACCAUAUGGUACUAAAAUGAAAAAGUGUGAAACUAUAAGGGUGGUAUUGAAAGUUUUUUCUUUUUUUCGCAUUGCUGGUAAGUUGGUCGGCAUCCUGCCUACAUAAACAAGCGCCCAACAUUAUAUCUGUAUGUUUUAAGCUAGUUUUUGCGCAGAUUACAUUUUCGGUUCUCAAACUAUAAAGUCGCUUGAUAUUCAUUUAUUGUAAAUUUUUAAUUGAAUUUCGUAAAAUUAUUAUAAUCAAGUCUGACAAGCUAAUUUAAUUGAGAAGUAAUAUAGAAGUAUUGUGAUUGAUGAUGAUGCGAUAAUAAUUACUUAUUUUUUUUACUGUUGGUAUGUAGGUCAGCAUCUAGUCUACAUGAACGAGAGUUGAAUGCUGUGCCUGCAUGUUUUAAGUUAGUUUAUAGAUAAACUACACUUUUGUAUCCUCAAACUAUAAGGUGCGUGAAACUUAAUGUAGUCAUCAAACUUUAAAUUAUUACAAUUAUUGACUCAAACUUUUUUGAAGUAUUGUAAUCAACCCACAGCCUAAUUUAGUCAGCUAAACAUUGACUAUAUUGCUGAUGUUAAGCAAUAUAACAUCUUAGUUAUUAUCGUAUCAUCAAUCGCAAUAUUUCCACAUUGCUCUACGUCAACAAUUUAUUAACGUUCGAAUCCUAGGUGGUAUCCGAGGGCAAGUGGCAAAGGACUUGGUAUCCGAGAUUCCAAGUUCAAAUCCUAGUUGAUUCACAUUUCAAGCUACGUUUAUUUCUAAAUGAAAUAAAUGAAGCGGGUAAUGUACUACCUAUUUCUCAAAAAAUAAUAAUAAUAAUAAUAAUUUAUCAACGUUUAGCAAACUAAAUUGGAUUGCAUAACUUUAUUAUCGAGCCAGCAAUUAUAAUAAAUUAAAAUUUGAAGGCUAAGUAUUACACACUCUAUAAUUUGAGAACCAAAAGUGUUAAUGUUAGUUUUUUUAUUUAUUAAAUAUUUCUAUAUGAUACUAAUUGAAGAAUUUUCAGAAAUUCUUAAUUUGGUUAGGGAAAAAAAUUAAAAUUUUAAAUUCUUUGCUUGCAAGCAACCAAAAUAAUUAUUUUAAAAUUCUUUCAUUUGCUUUUUAAAAUAAAAUAAAAUAAAAUAAAAUUUCAGUGUAAUAAGUGUGAUUAUUAUUAUUAUUAUUAUUAU